Long non-coding RNA from Catharus ustulatus (Swainson's thrush), 4132 nucleotides. RefSeq lists it as uncharacterized. The transcript has 2 exons. NCBI's taxonomy places the organism in Eukaryota, Metazoa, Chordata, Aves, Passeriformes, Turdidae. The record is from RefSeq and is a predicted model, not a curated record.
UGUCCCUGCCCAUGGGAAUUUUGGUGGAUGAGCUUUAAGAUCCCUCCCAACCCAAACCAUUCCCUGGUUCUGUGAUUCCCAAGGCAAUCCUGGCUCUGAUGGAAUCUGGGUGAGAUUUUUCUCCCAGGAUUUCUGUGCAGCACAAAAGCCACGUCCCACUCUGCUGGCAAACAGGACAGGGCUGUCAAGCUCACCUGGAAAGCUCCAAAAAAAACACCAAGGCCUGGAUAAUCCUUCCAUUUCCAUCUCCUGGGAGAAGAGAAGGGGUAUUUAAAGUUGGUGUAGCCCGUGUUGUGAGCUGUAGUAAAUCCACAAGGCUUUUACUAGGAGCAGGUUCAGCAGGGAGCCAUCACUGCUGCCCAUUGUCCCAGCACAAACAUAUCAGAUGCCACUGGCACGUUUCUGGCACUAUUUUAUUGAGGGUUUGCUCUGAAAGCAGCUCUUGUACUACUCCUGAACUCCAAACUGCUGAUGUUGACACGUGUGAGUCCCCAGAUGAGCUGAUUAUUAUUUAAUGUACCUCUCAAACCAGAGAAACAAUUGCAGGUCAACUCAGAGAGUAUUUGAAAGCAGGACUUCAGAUCAGUGUUUGAUGUUUAAAAAAAAAAAAUAAAUAAAAGAAGUUAAAAGGAUUCAAAUUAAAAAGAUCCUUGGCUGCAGGCAGCAAAACAGCUGGACUUAUUUAAAACCAUUUGUUUUUCAAGUUUUCUCUUUUUUUAAUAUAUAUAUAUAUGAUUUUGCUUCUUUGUUUGAGUUGGAUGCAGUAGCACUUUGGUAUUGAAAAGAAUCAGAGAAUUUCCAUUGUCAAUAAGUUGGUUUUUGUGCAGAAAAUAGGGAGUGUUUCAAGAGAUCUCAGCAAAAGCCCAAAAUGUCUCUGUUAAAACACAUGGCCUUGUGCUUCUCAUUUCAUGGAAUAUCCUGUGUGAUUUUCCAGUUUACUCUGAAAAAAGACAGAAAACAUCCAAAUUCUAUCAGAAAUAUAUUUGGAAAGUCUGGAGACUCUGCUGAAUACAGAAAUACAGGGAUCCCCUGGUUGUAGCAUUUCCACAGUUGGACUCUCACCUCUUCAGUAUCCAAAAAAGAAAAGUCCCACAUCACUGAGCAGCAGCUCUGCUGCAGAACCCAUUCAGCACAUUCUGUGCAAUUCAAACCCUAAUUUAGUACAGCUCUCAAUUAAAAUCCUAAUUGAUUACAGCUCUCCCAUCUGCCUUGUGACUGGACCACCAAAGUGCACAGAGCUGGGAGUGGAAGCAGCAGGGAGAGGAGCUUGGAGGAGCCAGGAAGGGCCAGGUGACCUGAGAGGGAAUUUUAACAAAAGCACAGAGUGAUAGGAAAAGGGGGAUAGGAUUGGGAUGAAGGAGGGCAGGGGGAGAGGGGACAUUUGGAAUAAAUUGUUCCCUGUGAAAUGUGUGAGUUUAAGGUCCCUUCCAACCCAAACCUUCCCAUGAUUUGAUGAUUCUGGGAGUUCAGCCCAGUGGCAGAAGUGAGGUUGGUGUGGUCAUCAAGGUGAGCUCAGUGUGGUGACCAAGGUGAGGUUGUUGUGGUCAUCAAGGUGAGCUCAGUGUGGUCAUCAAGGUGAAGUUGUUGUGGUCACCAAGGUGAGGUCACUGUAGUCACCAAGGUGAGGUUCUUGUGGUCACCAGGGUGAGGUCACUGUGGUCAUCAACGUAAGGUCAGUGUGGUGACCACGGUGAGAUCACUGUGGUCACCAGCGUGAGAUCACUGUGGUCACCAUGGUGGGGUUGUUGUGGUCACAAAGGUGACGUCACUGUGGUCACCAAGGUGAGGUCACUGUGGUCAUCAAGGUGAGGUCAGUGUGGUCACCACAAUGUGGUCAGUGUGGUCACAAAGGUGAAGUUGUGGUCAUCAAUGUGAGGUCACUGUGGUCACCAAGGUGAGGUUGUUAAGGUCACCAAGGUGAGGUCACUGUGGUUAUCAAGGUGAGAUCACUGUGGUCAUCAACGUGAGGUCAGUGUUGUCACCAAGGUGAGGUUGUUGAGGUCACCAAGGUGAGGUCACUGUGGUCAUCAACGUGAGGUUGUUGUGUGGUCACCAGGGUGAGGUUGUUGUGGUCACCAAGGUGAGGUCAGUGUUGUCACCAAGGUGAGGUCAGUGUGGUCGCCACGAUGUGGUCAGUGUGGUCACAAAGGUGAAGUUGUUGAGGUCAUCAAGGUGAGGUCACUGUGGUGACCACGGUGAGGUCACCAUGGUCACCAAGGUGAGGUCAGUGUGGUCACCAUGAUGGGGUCAGUGUGGUCACCAAGGUGAUGUCACUGUGGUCACCAGCGUGAGGUCAGUGUGGUCACCACAGUGGGGUUGUUGUGGUCACAAAGGUGACGUCACUGUGGUCACCAAGGUGAGGUUGUUGUGGUCACCAAGGUGAGGUCAGCGUGGUCACCAAGCUGGGGUCACUGUGGUCACCACAGUGGGGUUGUUGUGGUCACCAAAGUGAGGUCACUGUGGUCACCACGGUGAGGUUGUUGAGGUCACCAAGGUGAGGUGACUGUGGUCACCAAAGUGAGGUCACUGUGGUCACCAAGGUGAGGUCAUUGUGGUGACCACAUGUGGGACAUCCCCACCUCCUUCCAGCUACAGCCCUUUUAACCCCCAGAACUGAAACCCACCCACCCUGGCAGCUAAAAAAUCAGGGACUCACAGGAGCAGGGAGCUGGCAGCUCUCAGACCCUAAAUCAAACAUUUCUGUCUGUGCCUCUCCUUUGUCUCCACUCAUCCUAAAGCUGAGGUUUAAUUUGGUUCUCCCUGGUGUGAACAGGAUGGAAAUACAGAACUGGUCACCACCACAUUCCCCUGUGUCCAUAUUGACACUUCUCUGGAAUUUCCCAGUGUUUCCUGUGCUUUUAUUGCCAGCAAUCAAAUUUUGGAGCCCAACCCCUCUGGGCAUGUCCAGCACUGCAAAGGAAAGGAAAAACCAAGUUCAUUACCCCUGGCAAUUAAUCUGUUUAAUCACUGUGGAUUUCAGUGCAUUCACUCAGCAGAAACCACAUUUUACUCCAAUAUUUGGGUUUUUUGCCAUCCCUAAGGAUGGCCAAGUUUUUUUAAGGUUGUGAAAGUGCUCUCAUGUCUUUCCUCUUUUAUUUUAAGAGCACUAAACAGGCAGAAAAGAAGACAUUUGGAUAAAACAUUUCCAAAUUAGAGUAUAUCAGUAUCUAUUUUUAUAUGGAUAUAAUAUAUAUAUAUAUAUAUACAUUUAUAUAAUUUUAUCAUCCCAGGAGCUGAUUGGAACCAGAAAAAUGGAAUUCCUGUGCAGUCAGCAGAGUGCUUUAGAAACCUCACCCUCCCAAAAUUCAGCUCCUGCCUGUCCCUGCUCUCAGCUUGGGUGCUCCUUUCACAAGACACAACUCCUUGUCCACAUCAAAUAUCUUCAGCAUAAAUUUUGCUGGCUCUGAGGGCAAAUAUUCCCUCUCCAACAAGAUUUAAACUCAUUUAAGAGUUCCUGCUCACUCCCAGGGCAUUGGAGAGGAGCUUUAAUGCAGGGACAAGAGGCUGCAGAGAGCUCCCUGCUCUGAAGGGUUUGAUUUGUACAACGAUGCCAAAUUCUCCUCUGGGAAGGAGAGAAAUCCUCUCCUCCAAACAGCCAAAGCCUUUGCCAAAAUAUCCCAAAUUUCCUGCGCUCUUGAAACAUUCUCUGCUGCUUUCUGGGUGAGCUUUUCCGUGGGUGUGUUUGACAUUCAGGGAGGAGUGGGUGUGUUUUCUGUCCUCUAGCAGAACUCUGCCCUGUUUUCCUGCCCUGUACCAUUUUCCCGUUGGAUUUUUGUUCACCUGGCUGGGUCAGUCCCAAGCACUCGGCGUUUUUCUCCUCCUCCUUCAAGGGUUGCAUCCCCAGAGUUACUUGUAUUUAUGUCUGUAAAUAGAUUUCCAAAGCUUCCUAGCCAAAAUAUUUAGUGCUUGUAAUUACUCUGCAUUUUUCUCCUUUUUUUUUUUUCCUGUGUUUUUAAUGAACUUACCUUUGUGUUUGCUGAAAUACUGUAGUGAGACUUAUUUCUUUUCCCAAUUAGUUAUUUUUAGGCUUCAAGAGGAACUACAUUUUAUUCACUUUUGUAAACAGUUAUAGCAUGGUCUCUAUACAACAUCCUUCACUUUUUUGUGGUAGGGGAAAAACAAACGUGAAAAA